AUGAAAAUCAAUGGUUGGAAGGAAAUAAUGUUAUUUUUUGGAGGUAAGGAAAUUCGUCUCAAAUCUGUUAUUCAAGCUAUUCCCACCUAUGCAAUGUCAGUCUUCAAAAUUUCUAAAUGGAUUUGUGAAAGAAUUACUGACGCGAUGUCACAUUUUUUGUGGGGAGACGAGGACAAUCAGAGGAGGGUGCAUUGGAUGGAUUGGCGGAAAAUGUGUCCAAAAAAUCAAGGAGGUAUGGUUCGUGAUAUUCAUUGCUUUAAUCUAGCAAUGCUGGUAAAACAGGCUCGGUGUCUUCUUGAGAACUCUGAUUCUAUAUGUACCACUUUUUUGAGAGCUAGUAUUUUCCUGGUGUUAAUUUGUUGA
Molecule: ribosomal RNA, 363 nt
Filed under: Triticum aestivum (bread wheat)
Lineage: Eukaryota; Viridiplantae; Streptophyta; Magnoliopsida; Poales; Poaceae
Description: partial small subunit ribosomal RNA
Source: RNAcentral